CCUACGGGGUGCAGCAGUGGGGGAUAUUGGACAAUGGGGGGAACCCUGAUCCAGCGACGCCGCGUGAGUGAAGAAGGCUUUCGGGUUGUAAACUUCUUUUAAGAGGGAAGAGCAGAAGACGGUACCUCUUGAAUAAGCCACGGCUAACUACGUGCCAGCAGCCGCGGUAAUACGUAGGUGGCAAGCGGUGUCCGGAUUUACGGGGGUAAAGGGCGUGCAGCCGGGAAGACAAGUCAGAUGUGAAAUCCCGCGGCUCAACCGCGGAACUGCAUUUGAAACUGUUUUUCUUGAGUACCGGAGAGGUCAUCGGAAUUCCUUGUGUAGCGGUGAAAUGCGUAGAUAUAAGGAAGAACACCAGUGGCGAAGGCGGAUGACUGGACGGCAACUGACGGUGAGGCGCGAAAGCGUGGGGAGCAAACAGGAUUAGAUACCCUAGUAGUC
RNAcentral lists this ribosomal RNA (441 nucleotides) under uncultured bacterium. Its description in RNAcentral is "partial 16S ribosomal RNA". It matches the Rfam family "Bacterial small subunit ribosomal RNA", at positions 338 to 795 of the family's 1533-position model. The record is from RNAcentral.